RNAcentral lists this ribosomal RNA (377 nucleotides) under uncultured organism. Its description in RNAcentral is "partial 16S ribosomal RNA". It matches the Rfam family "Bacterial small subunit ribosomal RNA", at positions 527 to 896 of the family's 1533-position model. The record is from RNAcentral.
GAACCGUACAAACGUUAUUCGGAAUCACUGGGCUUAAAGGGUGCGUAGGCGGCCUGGCAAGUUGGGUGUGAAAUCCCUCGGCUCAACCGAGGAACUGCGCCCAAAACUGCUAGGCUUGAGGGAGAUAGAGGUGAGCGGAACUUAGGGUGGAGCGGUGAAAUGCGUUGAUAUCCUAAGGAACACCGGUGGCGAAAGCGGCUCACUGGAUCUCUUCUGACGCUGAGGCACGAAAGCUAGGGUAGCGAACGGGGAUUAGAUACCCCGGUGGUCCUAGCUGUAAACGAUGAGCACUGGGUUGGAGGCCCCCCCCCCCCAUAGGCUUCCGGCCGAAGCGAAAGUGUUAAGUGCUCCGCCUGGGGAGUAUGGUCGCAAGGCUG